UGGCGGACGGGUGAGUAACGCGUGGGUAACCUGCCUUACACAGGGGGAUAACACCUGGAAACAGGUGCUAAUACCGCAUAAGCGCACAGGGCCGCAUGGCCCGGUGUGAAAAACUCCGGUGGUGUAAGAUGGACCCGCGUCUGAUUAGCUUGUUGGCGGGGUAGGGGCCCACCAAGGCGACGAUCAGUAGCCGGCCUGAGAGGGUGGACGGCCACAUUGGGACUGAGACACGGCCCAGACUCCUACGGAAGGCAGCAG
This 258-nucleotide ribosomal RNA is filed under the name uncultured bacterium. Its description in RNAcentral is "partial 16S ribosomal RNA". It matches the Rfam family "Bacterial small subunit ribosomal RNA", at positions 96 to 354 of the family's 1533-position model. The record is from RNAcentral.